CCUACGGGGCGCAGCAGUGAGGAAUAUUGGUCACUGGCCGGAAGGCUGAACCAGCCAUGCCGCGUGAAGGUCAGUGCCCUAUGGGCGUUAAACUUCUUUUGUGCGGGAGCAAUAAUGGGCACGUGUGGCCAGACGAGAGUACCGUACGAAUAAGCAUCGGCUAACUACGUGCCAGCAGCCGCGGUAAUACGGGGGAGGCAAGCGUUAUCCGGAUUUAUUGGGUUUAAAGGGUGCGUAGGCUGUGAGGUAAGUCAGCGGUGAAAUGCCCCCGCUCAACGGGGUGAAGUGCCAUUGAUACUGCCGUGCUGGAAUGCGGAUGCCGUGGGAGGAAUGUGUGGUGUAGCGGUGAAAUGCAUAGAUAUCACACAGAACACCGAUUGCGAAGGCAUCUCACGAAUCCGCGAUUGACGCUGAUGCACGAAAGCGUGGGUAUCAAACAGGAUUAGAUACCCCAGUAGUC
RNAcentral lists this ribosomal RNA (460 nucleotides) under uncultured bacterium. RNAcentral describes it as "partial 16S ribosomal RNA". It matches the Rfam family "Bacterial small subunit ribosomal RNA", at positions 338 to 795 of the family's 1533-position model. The record is from RNAcentral.